Molecule: ribosomal RNA, 610 nt
Filed under: Cercomonas sp. HFCC574
Lineage: Eukaryota; Cercozoa; Cercomonadida; Cercomonadidae
Description: eukaryotic LSU rRNA
Rfam family: Eukaryotic large subunit ribosomal RNA
Source: RNAcentral
GGACCAAGGAGUCUAACAUAUAUGCGAGUAUUUGGGCCUGGAAACCCUUAUGCGCAAUGAAAGUGAAGGUUGUCUUCGGACUUCUGAGGUAGGAACCUGUGUCCUCGGACAUAGGGGCACUAUCGACCGAUCGUCACUUGUUGAAGAUUUGAGUAUGAGCAUAUCUGUUGGGACCCGAAAGAUGGUGAUCUAUGCCUGAACAGGGCGAAGCCAGGGGAAACUCUGGUGGAGGCUCGUAGCGAUACUGACGUGCAAAUCGUUCGUCUGAUUUGGGUAUAGGGGCGAAAGACUAAUCGAACCAUCUAGUAGCUGGUUCCCUCCGAAGUUUCCCUUAGGAUAGCUGGAACUUAUACAGUUUUAUCAGGUAAAGCUAAUGAUUAGUGGUCCUAGAGUUGAAACAACUUUAACCAAUUCUCAAACUUUAAAUAGGUAAGAAGCCUUGGGUUACUUAAUUGAACCCGGGCCUCGAAUGGAAGUUCUUAGUGGGCCAUUUUUGGUAAGCAGAACUGGCGAUGCGGGAUGAACCGGACGCUGACUUAAAGUGCCUAACUGUUCGCUCAUCAGAUCCCACAAAAGGUGUUGGUUCAUUUAGACAGCAGGACGGUGGUCA